UACGGGGGGUGCAAGCGUUGUUCGGAAUCAUUGGGCGUAAAGGGCGCGUAGGCGGAUAGUUAAGUCUGAUGUGAAAUACCAGGGCUCAACCCUGGGGCUGCAUCGGAAACUGGUUAUCUUGAGGACAGGAGAGGAAAGUGGAAUUCCACGUGUAGCGGUGAAAUGCGUAGAUAUGUGGAGGAACACCAGUGGCGAAGGCGACUUUCUGGACUGUAACUGACGCUGAGGCGCGAAAGCGUGGGGAGCAAACAGG
This 253-nucleotide ribosomal RNA is filed under the name uncultured bacterium. RNAcentral describes it as "partial 16S ribosomal RNA". It matches the Rfam family "Bacterial small subunit ribosomal RNA", at positions 524 to 776 of the family's 1533-position model. The record is from RNAcentral.